This 547-nucleotide ribosomal RNA is filed under the name uncultured archaeon. RNAcentral's name for it is "bacterial SSU rRNA". It matches the Rfam family "Archaeal small subunit ribosomal RNA", at positions 330 to 879 of the family's 1478-position model. The record is from RNAcentral.
GUGCAGCAGGCGCGAAAACUUUGCAAUACACGAAAGUGUGACAGGGCUAUCCCGAGUGCCAUCCGCUGAGGAAGGCUUUUACCCAGUCUAGAAAGCUGGGGGAAUAAGGAGAGGGCAAGUCUGGUGUCAGCCGCCGCGGUAAUACCAGCUCUCCGAGUGGUGUGGAUGUUUAUUGGGCCUAAAGCAUCCGUAGCUGGCUAAGUUAGUCCCUUGUUAAAUCCACCGAAUUAAUCGUUGGAUCGCGGGGGAUACUGCUUGGCUAGGGGACGAGAGAGGCAGACGGUAUUUUCGGGGUAGGGGUGAAAUCCUAUAAUCCCGGGAAGACCACCAGUGGCGAAGGCUGUCUGCUAGAACGCGCCCGACGGUGAGGGAUGAAAGCUGGGGGAGCGAACCGGAUUAGAUACCCGGGUAGUCCCAGCUGUAAACGAUGCAGGCUAGGUGUUUGGACGGCCACGUGCCGUUCUAGUGCCGCAGGGAAGCUGUUAAGCCUGCCGCCUGGGGAGUACGAUCGCAAGAUUGAAACUUAAAGGAAUUGGCGGGGGAGCAC